Molecule: non-coding RNA, 26 nt
Filed under: Mus musculus (house mouse)
Lineage: Eukaryota; Metazoa; Chordata; Mammalia; Rodentia; Muridae
Source: RNAcentral
UAGUUUAGUUCCUCAGCCCCUCCACG